UUCUUAUGUGGCCUUUGAGAUUGGUAAGAAAUUGCAUGCGUGGAAGCUGUGAAGAUCAGUUGUUUCAUGUUACUGAAUCUGGGUAGGACUUUUUAACUUUUGCAAAAUAGACUAUGCACAAUUUUGUUGUCUAUGGAGAUGGAUUUGAUAUAGCUCAGACAAUCCAUGAAAAUAAUGUGGUAGCAACUUGCUAAAACCUGG
This 201-nucleotide unclassified non-coding RNA is filed under the name Hevea brasiliensis (rubber tree). The record is from RNAcentral. Lineage: Eukaryota; Viridiplantae; Streptophyta; Magnoliopsida; Malpighiales; Euphorbiaceae.